Molecule: ribosomal RNA, 557 nt
Filed under: Colletotrichum gloeosporioides
Lineage: Eukaryota; Fungi; Ascomycota; Sordariomycetes; Glomerellales; Glomerellaceae
Description: eukaryotic LSU rRNA
Rfam family: 5.8S ribosomal RNA (bases 229-382)
Source: RNAcentral
UUGAAGUAAAAAGUCGUAACAAGGUCUCCGUUGGUGAACCAGCGGAGGGAUCAUUACUGAGUUUACGCUCUACAACCCUUUGUGAACAUACCUAUAACUGUUGCUUCGGCGGGUAGGGUCUCCGCGACCCUCCCGGCCUCCCGCCUCCGGGCGGGUCGGCGCCCGCCGGAGGAUAACCAAACUCUGAUUUAACGACGUUUCUUCUGAGUGGUACAAGCAAAUAAUCAAAACUUUUAACAACGGAUCUCUUGGUUCUGGCAUCGAUGAAGAACGCAGCGAAAUGCGAUAAGUAAUGUGAAUUGCAGAAUUCAGUGAAUCAUCGAAUCUUUGAACGCACAUUGCGCCCGCCAGCAUUCUGGCGGGCAUGCCUGUUCGAGCGUCAUUUCAACCCUCAAGCUCUGCUUGGUGUUGGGGCCCUACAGCCGAUGUAGGCCCUCAAAGGUAGUGGCGGACCCUCCCGGAGCCUCCUUUGCGUAGUAACUUUACGUCUCGCACUGGGAUCCGGAGGGACUCUUGCCGUAAAACCCCCCAAUUUUCCAAAGGUUGACCUCGGAUCA